GAUGAAGAACGCAGCGAAAUGCGAUAAGUAAUGUGAAUUGCAGAAUCCAGUGAAUCAUCGAAUCUUUGAACGCACAUUGCUCCCGCCAGCAUUCUGGCGGGCAUGCCUGUUCGAGCGUCAUUUCAACCCUCGACCUCCCCUUGGGGAGGUCGGCGUUGGGGACCGGCAGCACACCGCCGGCCCUGAAAUGGAGUGGCGGCCCGUCUGCGGCGACCUCUGCGUAGUAAUACAGCUCGCACCGGAACCCCGACGCGGCCACGCCGUAAAACACCCAACUUCUGAACGUUGACCUCGAAUCAGGUAGGACUACCCGCUGAACUUAAGCAUAUCAAAGCGGAGGA
This 341-nucleotide unclassified non-coding RNA is filed under the name soil metagenome. Its description in RNAcentral is "partial contains 5.8S ribosomal RNA, internal transcribed spacer 2, and large subunit ribosomal RNA". The stretch from base 1 to 120 matches the Rfam family "5.8S ribosomal RNA", at positions 35 to 154 of the family's 154-position model. The record is from RNAcentral.